AGUGAACGCUGGCGGUAGGCCUAACACAUGCAAGUCGAACGGCAGCACAGGAGAACUUGCUUUCUGGGUGGCGAGUGGCGGACGGGUGAGGAAUACAUCGGAAUCUACUCUGUCGUGGGGGAUAACGUAGGGAAACUUACGCUAAUACCGCAUACGACCUACGGGUGAAAGCAGGGGAUCUUCGGACCUUGCGCGAUUGAAUGAGCCGAUGUCGGAUUAGCUAGUUGGCGGGGUAAAGGCCCACCAAGGCGACGAUCCGUAGCUGGUCGGAGAGGAUGAUCAGCCACACUGGAACGGAGACACGGUCCAGACUCCGACGGGAGGCAGCAGUGGGGAAUAUUGGACAAUGGGCGCAAGCCUGAUCCAGCCAUACCGCGUGGGUGAAGAAGGCCUUCGGGUUGUAAAGCCCUUUUGUUGGGAAAGAAAUCCAGCUGGCUAAUACCCGGUUGGGAUGACGGUACCCAAAGAAUAAGCACCGGCUAACUUCGUGCCAGCCGCCGCCGUAA
RNAcentral lists this ribosomal RNA (506 nucleotides) under uncultured bacterium. RNAcentral's name for it is "partial 16S ribosomal RNA". It matches the Rfam family "Bacterial small subunit ribosomal RNA", at positions 29 to 523 of the family's 1533-position model. The record is from RNAcentral.